UCUUGCGCAAUGGGGGAAACCCUGACGCAGCGACGCCGCGUGCGGGAUGAAGGCCUUCGGGUUGUAAACCGCUUUCAGCAGGGACGAAAUUGACGGUACCUGCAGAAGAAGGCCCGGCCAACUACGUCCCAGCAGCCGCGGUAAUACGUAGGGGCCUAGCGUUGUCCGGAUUUAUUGGGCGUAAAGAGCUCGUAGGCGGUUCGGCAAGUCGGAUGUGAAAUCUCCACGCUUAACGUGGAGGGGCCAUUCGAAACUGCCGUGACUCGAGUCCGGUAGGGGAGUGUGGAAUUCCCGGUGUAGCGGUGAAAUGCGCAGAUAUCGGGAGGAACACCAGUAGCGAAGGCGGCACUCUGGGCCGGUACUGACGCUGAGGAGCGAAAGCGUGGGGAGCGAACA
Molecule: ribosomal RNA, 396 nt
Filed under: uncultured bacterium
Lineage: Bacteria
Description: bacterial SSU rRNA
Rfam family: Bacterial small subunit ribosomal RNA
Source: RNAcentral